AGAUGUGAAGUAUAACAACUUAGCAAAUAUAGAACUAUAUAUACACAUAUGACUGUAUAUGGCCAUGUAAUUAUAAACUGAUACUAUAUCAGAUAUAUUUAUAAUAAAACUUUCUCCAUUCUAAAAAAUAAAAUAAAUAUAAUAUAAGCUAGCUCUAGAAGAUUGUAAAAAAUCCCUAUUCACAUGGACCAUAUCCAAAAAAGUUGUCCUUGGCGAUAACAGUAAUAAUAAGAUAGAUUAUUGUGGAUUGAGAGAUUAUUUCUGACUUAUUCAACUUUUAAUUUAUGAUUUUUUUUUAAUCUUGAAUAUCUUGUGUCCUAAACAAUAAUGUGGGUAAAAAGAGAAAAAUGUGGAAUGGGUUUUUGUGUGAGUUGAAAUGGUAUGCAUGGAUUUUGAGUACGUAUCUGUUUAGGUGUUUGUUAGAAUAUGAACGAGAGUGUCCUAUAUAUAUGUAUGAGAUAUUUUUAUCUCGUGAAAAACGGUUACAGAAAAAAGAUGGUACAAUAGAAAGUCAUUGUAUAGUACAUGAUAAGUAGAAGUACCUUUAUCCCUCUUUUCUCACACUCACAUAAUUUUACCAUUCUUUUCAGUGAGUACUGGCUAUAUCUUUCCUUUCCUAUAAAUAGAGGCCACUUGAGAGCAGUCUAUUAUAGCAAACAAUAUCCUCUCCCUCUCCCUAGAUCUCUUUUACAAAAAUAUAUAUAUAUAUGGAGCUGUUAUUAAUAAAGUUUCAUUAUUGAGAACUUCUUUUAAUUAUUUGAAGGAGAUUAAAGAUUAGGGAAACAAGAGACAUUGUUUGAGGCUGUUGACAGAAGAUAGAGAGCACAGAUGAUAAUAUGCAAAAACUAAAGCCAAUAACUCCAAGCUGCAUCUCACUCCUUUGUGCUCUCUAUGCUUCUGUCAUCACCUUCAGUCUCUCUACCCAUUUCUUUAUCCUUUCUAUAAAUCUCAUUUUUAUUCAAACUUAAUUACAAUAAUGGAUAUCCAAAACAUUCUAUAUACAAACAUGUAUAUACAUAUAUAAAUAUAUUUAUUGGCACCCAGAUUUUGUCCUUCCAAAAUUACAACAUUUGUCUCUCGGAUCUACGAACACCACAUGAUGUCAAUCAGGAAAAUCAAAGGGGGGAAAGAUUUUUAAAAAGGCUAUAGUUGUUGUAUUAUAUAUAAAUGAUUGUCUGUGUACUAUUCUGUAUUGUAAUUGAUAAAAAGUUCCACACUAAAGAAGAUUAAGUGCUCUUUCAAAAAGAAAAAGAAGAAGAAGAAGAAGAAGAAGAUUAAGUGAUUUAUGACCGAUUAGAUGUAUCAAUUGACUCAGGCAGACCGACUUGGCUUAUUAGGGUUAAUAAUUCUAAGGCUGCUAGUUUCUCUUCUGAAUUUUGAUAUUUCACAAUUCCAAACAUUGUAAUAUAACCAUACAAAAAAAUUAUAUUGGUAUAUAAAAUUUCAUUUUUUUCUCUUCA
Cannabis sativa is the source of this 1460-nucleotide long non-coding RNA. RefSeq lists it as uncharacterized. Lineage: Eukaryota; Viridiplantae; Streptophyta; Magnoliopsida; Rosales; Cannabaceae. The record is from RefSeq and is a predicted model, not a curated record. The transcript has 2 exons.